This 645-nucleotide long non-coding RNA is filed under the name Homo sapiens (human). RNAcentral's name for it is "HSALNT0378269". Lineage: Eukaryota; Metazoa; Chordata; Mammalia; Primates; Hominidae. The record is from RNAcentral.
CACACCAAAGAGCAUUUAACAUGCAUCAUGGUCUCAGGUCAAGAGUAUAUUCAAUAGUUGACAGUGAUGUGGCCUCUAGCUUUCCAGAAGAGAGGAAGUCACUGUCCAUCAUACAGUGCUUUAAUUUGAGUGUGAGCACCUGAAAUUUGGAUUUCUUAAAUAUCUCUGUCUCAGGACUUAGCAUGAUGCCUGAGGCUGAACUGAUGUCUGUGGAGAAAAGAACACGAAGGAAUAAUGUAAUAUGAAACUCCCUAACAUGAUACAUAUACAAAGACUAUUGAGAAAUCAAUGUGGAAAAUGCAAAACUAAGGGAGAAAGCAUUUUGAACCACUCAUCUAAGAAUAUGGUCAGUAUUAAAAAGACAAGAAUAUCAGAAAAAUCUCCCAAGUUAUGUUCAUAGGCUUAGCAGAAUAAAGGUAAGGCUUACUAGUUAAAUGAAUGAGAGAGGAGAAUUUUUUCUAAAUCUUAGAAAAUGUUCAGGCUCUCCCAUCUUUCUCCACACCCCUCAUGAGCAUCUCUGUAAAAACUGCCAUCAGGACCAAAGACAGCAGCUCUCAGUUUAACGUAGGUGCCAGUGACCAAACUACCGCUCAAGGAAAUAAGAGAGGAUACAAACAAAUGGAAAAACAUUCCAUGCUCAUGGAU